This is a transfer RNA of Ipomoea nil (Japanese morning glory), 72 nucleotides long. It matches the Rfam family "tRNA". From Rfam's summary of the family: Transfer RNA (tRNA) molecules are approximately 80 nucleotides in length. Their secondary structure includes four short double-helical elements and three loops (D, anti-codon, and T loops). Further hydrogen bonds mediate the characteristic L-shaped molecular structure. tRNAs have two regions of fundamental functional importance: the anti-codon, which is responsible for specific mRNA codon recognition, and the 3' end, to which the tRNAs corresponding amino acid is attached (by aminoacyl-tRNA synthetases). tRNAs cope with the degeneracy of the genetic code in two manners: having more than one tRNA (with a specific anti-codon) for a particular amino acid; and 'wobble' base-pairing, i.e. permitting non-standard base-pairing at the 3rd anti-codon position. The record is from Rfam. Lineage: Eukaryota; Viridiplantae; Streptophyta; Magnoliopsida; Solanales; Convolvulaceae.
GCCUUCUUAACAAAGUGGUAGAGUGCGUGGCUUUUAACCACGUGGUUGUGGGUUUGAUCCCUAAAGACGGUG